GGUGGAUUAGUGGCGAACGGGUGAGUAACACGUGAGUAACCUGCCCUUCACUUCAGGAUAAGCCUUGGAAACGGGGUCUAAUACUGGAUAUGACUCAAGCUCGCAUGGGUUUGGGUGGAAAGAUUUUUUGGUGGGGGAUGGGCUCGCGGCCUAUCAGCUUGUUGGUGAGGUAGUGGCUUACCAAGGCGACGACGGGUAGCCGGCCUGAGAGGGUGACCGGCCACACUGGGACUGAGACACGGCCCAG
Molecule: ribosomal RNA, 247 nt
Filed under: uncultured bacterium
Lineage: Bacteria
Description: partial 16S ribosomal RNA
Rfam family: Bacterial small subunit ribosomal RNA
Source: RNAcentral